RNAcentral lists this ribosomal RNA (497 nucleotides) under uncultured bacterium. RNAcentral's name for it is "partial 16S ribosomal RNA". It matches the Rfam family "Bacterial small subunit ribosomal RNA", at positions 28 to 507 of the family's 1533-position model. The record is from RNAcentral.
GAUGAACGCUGGCGGCGUGCCUAAUACAUGCAAGUCGAGCGAACGGACGAGAAGCUUUCUUCUCUGAUGUUAGCGGCGGACGGGUGAGUAACACGUGGAUAACCUACCUAUAAGACUGGCAUAACUACGGGACACCGGAGCUAAUACCGGAUGAUAUUUUGAACCAGAUGGUUCAAUAGUGAGAGACGGUCUUUCUGUCACUAAUAGAGGGAUCCGCGCUGCUUUAGCUAAUGGGUAAGGAAACGGCUUACCAAGGCAACGAUGCAUAGCUGACCUGAGAGGGUGGUCGGCCACCCUGGAACUGAGACACGGUCCGGACUCCUACGGGAGGCAGCAGUAGGGAAUCUUCCGCAAUGGGCGAAAGCCUGACGGAGCAACGCCGCGUGAGUGAAGAAGGUCUUCGGAUCGUAAAACUCUGUUAUUAGGGAAGAACAUAUGUGUAAGUAACUGUGCCCAUCUUGACGGUACCUAAUCAAAAAGCAACGGCUAACUACGUG